Molecule: long non-coding RNA, 2220 nt
Organism: Gossypium raimondii (Peruvian cotton)
Lineage: Eukaryota; Viridiplantae; Streptophyta; Magnoliopsida; Malvales; Malvaceae
Exons: 3
Source: RefSeq, a predicted model, not a curated record
UCGAUUUGUCAUUUCAAAAUCAAAUUCGUUCUGAUGAUAGUAGUUUCCAAGGAUAAAACUUUAUUUGCUAUCUUCUUUUGAAAUCAUUUCCCUCAAAUGCUCCUUCAGUCUGGAUUUCUUGGCCAUCUUCUCUCUGAAGCGAAAUUAUGAAGCUUCAGCUCUUCUCCCAUCAAGUAAAAGGUUUCUCCUUUAUCAAGAGCGUCUUUUGCUAGUCUAUGUGCAUGUGAGUUCCCUGAUCUGUGAAUAUGCUGAAAUAUAAUCUCUUGAAAACAAGGUUUCUUAUUCUGAAUAAAUGAAAGGAAGAAAAGGAACCUAAAUAUCUACCCCAGUUAAUUCAAAAACGGCUGGAUACCAUUAAUUCUCUCGAUUUGUCAUUUCAAAAUCCAAUUCAUUCUGACGAUAGUAGUUUCCAAGGAUAAAACUUUAUUUGCUAUCUUCUUUUGAAAUCAUUUCCCUCAAACGCUCCUUCAGUCUGGAUUUCUUGGCCAUCUUCUCUCUGAAGCGAAACUAUGAUGCUUCAGCUCUUCUCCCAUCAGGUAAAAGGUUUCUCAUCUAUCAAGAGCGUCUUUUGCUAGUCUAUGUGCAUGUGAGUUCCCUGAUCUGUGCAUAUGCUGAAAGAUAAUCUCUUGAAAACAAGGUUUCUUAUUUUGAAUAUCUCUGAUAAUAGCUCCAAUCAUUAAUUUAUCUGUUAAAGUAGUCUGGCAUUUUUUUUAUUUUUUUGGAGUCCCCCAUAAGUUUAACCGAUUGAACUUUUAGUAAGAUCCCUAGCCUUGUGCCUUCUAAACAUGCAUACGCUUCUGCUGCAAAUGGAGAGGAAACAUUGUUGUGAAUGAUUGUCUUUAAGACCAGUAGUUCCCCCCUCAGAUCCCAACCCACCAAACCUGUGGCUGAUUUGAAGUUUCUACUGUCAAACGCUGCAUCGAAAUGGAUCGUUACUCUUGUUUUCCCCUCAUGUAUGAAUUGAUUUCUGGAAAACCAUAUCAACCAUAAAGCAUAACAGUAGAGUCGGCGUUAAGCGUCAUUACUACUCUUGAAAACCCAGGUUAGCUACUCCCAUAGACUUUGAUUCAUAUUAUUCAUGACCCAGGAUAACUGUAAAAACUGCUAAACUUCUGUUGUUAUAAGGCAUUCACAGAAGACAUGAAGGUUGUCUUCUGCUCAGGAGUAGCAACGGGGACAUCUGUUGUUUGAAAUGACUUUCCUAUACCUGAGAUUAGGAAUAUUAGGAAUAAAAUCCCAGGAAAUUCGCCAAAUAGUGAUUUCAAUUUUUGAAGGUAGCUGUAGGCUCCAUAAUUUCCUGUAAAAUUCAUUAGUUUCGGUUUGUAAUAAAUAAUUAGUAGGAUUCGGAAUAACAUCUUGUAAUAGUUUAUAGACACUGCGUACUGAAAACUCGCCGGAUAAUUCUCUUUUCCAAACUUGAGUAUCCUCGUGAUCAAUCUCUACAAGAAGGAUCUAUAGAAUUUUCUAAGCAAUUUCCGCUUGAAAGCUAUCUUCCCAAAUAGAAAUUUUAUCUCCUCUGCCCACUCUGUAGCACAUCCCUUUUUGGAGGAGUCCCUUUGCUGCCAAAAUACUCUUCCAGGUAAGUGAAGGUAAAUUUCCCAACUCUGCAUUUAGAAAACUUGAUUGCGGAUAGUAUUUUGCUUUUAAAGCUAUGGCUAAUAAAGAAUUUGGAUAAUUAAUAAGGCGCCAACCUUGUUCGGCUAAUAACGCAAUAUUAAAUUGACCAAGAUUUUGAAAACCUAGACCACCAUUUUCUUUUAAGGAACAAAGGUUUUUCCAAAUGCACCAAUGAAUUCCCCUUUUUCCAUGUCCCUUCUUCCACUAGAACCCCACAACGAUACUUUCCAGUUCAUCACAUAGAACUUUAAGUAAUAAAAAACAAGUCAUCGUGUAAGUUGGUAUAGCCUGAAGAAUGGCCUUUAUAAAUACUUCCUUUUCACCCUAAGAUAAAAACCUGUUACUCCAAUUGUCAAUAUGUUUUUUGAGUCGGUCCUUCAGAUUUUAAAAAAUUUCCUUUUUUUUCGACCCACCAUAUUAGGCAACCCUAGGUAACGUUCUGGUUCGUUCGAACUGUGGACCCCCAAUAGAUUGACGUCCAAUCUCUUAUCUUCCUCCAAUGUGUUCUUGCUAAAGAAUACUGUUGAUUUGUCAAAAUUAACACAUUGACCCGAGCAAGAUUUGUACUCGCGUAGAAUGUUCUUGGGUAAAUUAGCACCCUUG